This 253-nucleotide ribosomal RNA is filed under the name uncultured bacterium. RNAcentral's name for it is "partial 16S ribosomal RNA". It matches the Rfam family "Bacterial small subunit ribosomal RNA", at positions 524 to 776 of the family's 1533-position model. The record is from RNAcentral.
UACGGGGGGAGCAAACGUUGUUCGGAAUUACUGGGCGUAAAGCGUGCGCAGGCGGUUUUGUAAGCCAGAUGUGAAAUCCCCGGGCUUAACCUGGGAAUGGCAUUUGGGACUGCAAGGCUGGAGUGUGGCAGAGGAGACUGGAAUUCCUGGUGUAGCAGUGAAAUGCGUAGAUAUCAGGAGGAAUACCGAUGGCGAAGGCAGGUCUCUGGGCUGACACUGACGCUCAUGCACGAAAGCGUGGGGAGCAAACAGG